Molecule: ribosomal RNA, 494 nt
Filed under: uncultured bacterium
Lineage: Bacteria
Description: partial 16S ribosomal RNA
Rfam family: Bacterial small subunit ribosomal RNA
Source: RNAcentral
GAACGCUGGCGGCGUGCCUAAUACAUGCAAGUCGAGCGAACGGACGAGAAGCUUGCUUUUCUGAUGUUAGCGGCGGACGGGUGAGUAACACGUGGAUAACCUACCUAUAAGACUGGGAUAACUUCGGGAAACCGGAGCUAAUACCGGAUAAUAUUUUGAACCGCAUGGUUCAACAGUGAAAGACGGUCUUGCUGUCACUUAUAGAUGGAUCCGCGCUGCAUUAGCUAGUUGGUAAGGUAACGGCUUACCAAGGCAACGAUGCAUAGCCGACCUGAGAGGGUGAUCGGCCACACUGGAACUGAGACACGGUCCAGACUCCUACGGGAGGCAGCAGUAGGGAAUCUUCCGCAAUGGGCGAAAGCCUGACGGAGCAACGCCGCGUGAGUGAUGAAGGUCUUCGGAUCGUAAAACUCUGUUAUUAGGGAAGAACAUAUGUGUAAGUAACUGUGCACAUUUUGACGGUACCUAAUCAGAAAGCCACGGCUAACUACGUG